UCAGGAUGAACGCUGGCGGCGUGCCUAAUACAUGCAAGUCGAGCGAACUGAUUAGAAGCUUGCUUCUAUGACGUUAGCGGCGGACGGGUGAGUAACACGUGGGCAACCUGCCUGUAAGACUGGGAUAACUUCGGGAAACCGAAGCUAAUACCGGAUAGGAUCUUCUCCUUCAUGGGAGAUGAUUGAAAGAUGGUUUCGGCUAUCACUUACAGAUGGGCCCGCGGUGCAUUAGCUAGUUGGUGAGGUAACGGCUCACCAAGGCAACGAUGCAUAGCCGACCUGAGAGGGUGAUCGGCCACACUGGGACUGAGACACGGCCCAGACUCCUACGGGAGGCAGCAGUAGGGAAUCUUCCGCAAUGGACGAAAGUCUGACGGAGCAACGCCGCGUGAGUGAUGAAGGCUUUCGGGUCGUAAAACUCUGUUGUUAGGGAAGAACAAGUACCAAGUAG
RNAcentral lists this ribosomal RNA (451 nucleotides) under Bacillus sp. DJ-E6. Its description in RNAcentral is "bacterial SSU rRNA". It matches the Rfam family "Bacterial small subunit ribosomal RNA", at positions 24 to 463 of the family's 1533-position model. The record is from RNAcentral. Lineage: Bacteria; Bacillati; Bacillota; Bacilli; Caryophanales; Bacillaceae.